GGAAGGUGGGGAUGACGUCAAGUCCUCAUCGGCCCUUAUGGGUAGGGCUUCACACGUCAUACAAUGGUCGGUACAGAGGGUUGCCAAGCCGCGAGGUGGAGCCAAUCCCAGAAAGCCGAUCGUAGUCCGGAUUGUUCUCUGCAACUCGAGAGCAUGAAGUCGGAAUCGCUAGUAAUCGCGGAUCAGCAUGUCGCGGUGAAUACGUUCCCGGGUCUU
This 216-nucleotide ribosomal RNA is filed under the name uncultured Thiobacillus sp. RNAcentral's name for it is "partial 16S ribosomal RNA". It matches the Rfam family "Bacterial small subunit ribosomal RNA", at positions 1168 to 1382 of the family's 1533-position model. Lineage: Bacteria; Pseudomonadati; Pseudomonadota; Betaproteobacteria; Nitrosomonadales; Thiobacillaceae. The record is from RNAcentral.